CUCCACUAUGGCCAAGACCAAAGAGCUGUCGAAGGACACCAGAGACAAAAUUGUAGACCUGCACCAGGCUGGGAAGACAGAAUCUGCAAAAGAAUAUGGACCAGGUCAGCAAAAUGUCAAAGAUGGCAUCACAGACUGGUGAAUGGGGAGUACUGCUGACAUCAACCGUCGGCCAUUGCGUUGACAGUGCCCAUCUCAACAGUGAACUGUGAGAUUUUUCUUCAAUGAACUGAGUGAAGACAGACUUGAGAAACAGGGGGACCCAUCUUGUAGCAUGCCUCACAUUGACUAUAAAUGGACCACCUAUUGCUGAUUCCCCCAUUCCCCCACUCAUUUUUUUUUUUUUAAGUCCAGGAAAAUCAAGUGUUCCAAGGCAGGAUGCAAACUUUGCAAAUAGAUCUUUGUUAUGGUCCUUGGAAAUAAUA
Molecule: long non-coding RNA, 425 nt
Organism: Corythoichthys intestinalis (scribbled pipefish)
Lineage: Eukaryota; Metazoa; Chordata; Actinopteri; Syngnathiformes; Syngnathidae
Exons: 3
Source: RefSeq, a predicted model, not a curated record